CCUACGGGAGGCUGCAGUGGGGAAUAUUGCACAAUGGGGGAAACCCUGAUGCAGCGACGCCGCGUGAGUGAAGAAGUCAUUCGUUAUGUAAAGCUCUAUCAGCAGGGAAGAAAAUGACGGUACCUGAGUAAGACGCCCCGGCUAACUACGUGCCAGCAGCAGCGGUCAUACGGAGGGGGCAAGCGUUAUCCGGAUUGACUGGGUGUAAAGGGAGCGUAGACGGCAGGGCAAGUCUGGAGUGAAAGGCGGGGGCUCAACCCACGGACUGCUCUGGAAACUGUACGGCUGGAGUGCAGGAGAGGUAAGUGGAAUUCCUAGUGUAGCGGUGAAAUGCGUAGAUAUUAGGAGGAACACCAGUGGCGAAGGCGGCUUACUGGACUGUAACUGACGUUGAGGCUCGAAAGCGUGGGGAGCAAACAGGAUUAGAUACCCCGGUAGUC
RNAcentral lists this ribosomal RNA (440 nucleotides) under uncultured bacterium. RNAcentral's name for it is "partial 16S ribosomal RNA". It matches the Rfam family "Bacterial small subunit ribosomal RNA", at positions 338 to 795 of the family's 1533-position model. The record is from RNAcentral.